GUACUGCUGAAGAGUCCCAAACUAGGAUGGUGGAAACAGCUGUCCAGUAC
Molecule: non-coding RNA, 50 nt
Filed under: Trichobilharzia regenti
Lineage: Eukaryota; Metazoa; Platyhelminthes; Trematoda; Strigeidida; Schistosomatidae
Source: RNAcentral